CCCAGACUCCUACGGGAGGCAGCAGUGGGGAAUAUUGCACAAUGGGGGAAACCCUGAUGCAGCAACGCCGCGUGGGUGAAGGAGCGUUUCGGCGCGUAAAGCCCUGUCAGCGGGGAAGAAGAAAGACGGUACCCGACCAAGAAGCCCCGGCUAACUACGUGCCAGCAGCCGCGGUAAUACGUAGGGGGCAAGCGUUAUCCGGAUUCACUGGGUGUAAAGGGAGCGUAGACGGCCAGGCAAGCCUGAAGUGAAAGCCCGGGGCCCAACCCCGGGACUGCUCUGGGAACUGUCCGGCUGGAGUGCGGGAGGGGCAGGCGGAAUUCCUGGUGUAGCGGUGAAAUGCGUAGAUAUCGGGAGGAACACCGGCGGCGAAGGCGGCCUGCUGGACCGCGACUGACGUUGAGGCUCGAAAGCGUGGGGAGCGAACAGGAUUAGAUACCCCCGUAU
RNAcentral lists this ribosomal RNA (447 nucleotides) under uncultured bacterium. RNAcentral's name for it is "bacterial SSU rRNA". It matches the Rfam family "Bacterial small subunit ribosomal RNA", at positions 330 to 793 of the family's 1533-position model. The record is from RNAcentral.